This 497-nucleotide ribosomal RNA is filed under the name uncultured bacterium. RNAcentral describes it as "partial 16S ribosomal RNA". It matches the Rfam family "Bacterial small subunit ribosomal RNA", at positions 28 to 507 of the family's 1533-position model. The record is from RNAcentral.
GACGAACGCUGGCGGCGUGCCUAAUACAUGCAAGUUGAGCGAUGAAGAUUGGUGCUUGCACCAAUUUGAAGAGCAGCGAACGGGUGAGUAACGCGUGGGGAAUCUGCCUUUGAGCGGGGGACAACAUUUGGAAACGAAUGCUAAUACCGCAUAACAACUUUAAACAUAAGUUUUAAGUUUGAAAGAUGCAAUUGCAUCACUCAAAGAUGAUCCCGCGUUGUAUUAGCUAGUUGGUGAGGUAAAGGCUCACCAAGGCGAUGAUACAUAGCCGACCUGAGAGGGUGAUCGGCCACAGUGGGACUGAGACACGGCCCACAUUCCUACGGGAGGCAGCAGUAGGGAAACUUCGGCAAUGGCCGAAAGUCUGGCCGAGCAACGCCGCGAGAGUGAAGAAGGUUUUCGGCUCGUAAAACUCUGUUGGUAGAGAAGAACGGUGGUGAGAGUGGAAAGCGCAUCAAGUGACGGUAACUACCCAGAAAGGGACGGCUAACUACGUG